CUUUUUCUUUCUAUCUGAUUAGAACAGAAAUGGCAACCAAAGCGAGUCCUCCAAAUCUCCACAAAUCUGUGGCCAUUUCCAAAGGAUACAACUUCGCUUCUACUUGGGAGCAGAAUGCUCCUCUCUUGGAGAAACAGCAAGCAGCAAUCGUCGCAUUGUCUCAUGCCGUCGCCGAGCGACCAUAUCCUUCCAAUUUGGCC
Molecule: unclassified non-coding RNA, 200 nt
Filed under: Hevea brasiliensis (rubber tree)
Lineage: Eukaryota; Viridiplantae; Streptophyta; Magnoliopsida; Malpighiales; Euphorbiaceae
Source: RNAcentral